GCUAAAUACUCCUGACUGACCGAUAGUGAACCAGUACCGUGAGGGAAAGGCGAAAAGAACCCCGGCGAGGGGAGUGAAAAAGAACCUGAAACCGUGUACGUACAAGCAGUGGGAGCCCCACCACCAAAGCAUUCUCUGGUGUUGAAGGCCCUGCAAAGCAGCAUCGCGGUGGCGGAGCGUCGUUUGCGACGCCCAACACACAAAACAAGCGGUGAGUGCUUUGGGGUGGGGUGACUGCGUACCUUUUGUAUAAUGGGUCAGCGACUUAUAUUCUGUAGCAAGGUUAACCGAAUAGGGGAGCCGGAGGGAAACCGAGUCUUAAUUGGGCGUUAAGUUGCAGGGUAUAGACCCGAAACCCGGUGAUCUAGCCAUGGGCAGGUUGAAGGUUGGGUAACACUAACUGGAGGACCGAACCGACUAAUGUUGAAAAAUUAGCGGAUGACCUGUGGCU
RNAcentral lists this ribosomal RNA (451 nucleotides) under Salmonella enterica subsp. enterica serovar Anatum. RNAcentral's name for it is "partial 23S ribosomal RNA". It matches the Rfam family "Bacterial large subunit ribosomal RNA", at positions 465 to 816 of the family's 2925-position model. The record is from RNAcentral. Lineage: Bacteria; Pseudomonadati; Pseudomonadota; Gammaproteobacteria; Enterobacterales; Enterobacteriaceae.